CCAAUAGCGUAUAUUAAAGUUGUUGCAGUUAAAAAGCUCGUAGUUGAAUUUCGGGAUUGACACAUCGGUCGUGCCUUAAGGGGUAUGAACUGGUGUAGUCAAUUUCUCACCUUCUGGAGAACCGCAAUGCCCUUAAUUGGGUGUCGCGGGGAACCAGGACCUUUACUUUGAAAAAAUUAGAGUGUUUAAAGCAGGCAUUUUGCUUGAAUACAUUAGCAUGGAAUAAUAAAAUAGGACGGCAUGAUUCUAUUUUGUUGGUUUCUAGGAUCACCGUAAUGAUUAAUAGGGAUAGUUGGGGGCAUUAGUAUUCAAUUGUCAGAGGUGAAAUUCUUGGAUUUAUUGAAGACUAACUACUGCGAAAGCAUUUGCCAAGGAUGUUUUCAUUAAUCAAGAACGAAAGUUAGGGGAUCGAAGACGAUAAGAUACCGUCGUAGUCUUAACCAUAAACUAUGCCGACUAGGAAUCAGACGAUGUUAAUUUUUUAAUGACUCGUUUGGCACCUUACG
RNAcentral lists this ribosomal RNA (506 nucleotides) under uncultured Glomeromycotina. RNAcentral describes it as "partial small subunit ribosomal RNA". It matches the Rfam family "Eukaryotic small subunit ribosomal RNA", at positions 591 to 1092 of the family's 1831-position model. Lineage: Eukaryota; Fungi; Glomeromycota. The record is from RNAcentral.